AGAAGCUCCCUGUGCCCAUGGGGCCAUCUCGGCUUGUCCGUGGCCCUCGGCCCCAGGGCAUGCGUUCCCCCUACCGCAGGCCAGGUAUGGGCUGGCCCAGGCCCCGAUUUCCCAGGAUGUUCAAGUGUAGCCGCAGAAGAUAUCAACAGGGUCUCCGAGGUCGAACUGCCAGCAGUGCAGCCAUCAAUCCUGCCACCAGGGCCAUGGGUAUCAACAACACCCACACUGACACCACCAUAGUGUGGAUCUUCCCACCUCAAGGUGAGAUAACCUGAGGAAAUCAGAGGGAAUACAGCCCUUACCUUGCACCCUUCAUCCUAACAACCAUAUCUCCAGAAUUCCACAGAGCAGUGCUUCCUUCUCACACCCUAGGCUGUGCUCCCAACAUGGCACUAACACACCAUCCAACUAAUUGGUGGCCCAUGAUACUCAUAU
RNAcentral lists this long non-coding RNA (435 nucleotides) under Homo sapiens (human). RNAcentral describes it as "non-protein coding lnc-POMGNT1-1:9". The record is from RNAcentral. Lineage: Eukaryota; Metazoa; Chordata; Mammalia; Primates; Hominidae.